RNAcentral lists this ribosomal RNA (1339 nucleotides) under Acinetobacter gyllenbergii. RNAcentral's name for it is "partial 16S ribosomal RNA". It matches the Rfam family "Bacterial small subunit ribosomal RNA", at positions 41 to 1392 of the family's 1533-position model. Lineage: Bacteria; Pseudomonadati; Pseudomonadota; Gammaproteobacteria; Moraxellales; Moraxellaceae. The record is from RNAcentral.
GGCCUGAACAGGAAUAAAAAUGCAAGUCGUAACCAGGUCCGCCAAGCGUUGCUACGUACGUAUCAGACGGGAACGGAGUGCAGUAAGCGCGAGCCCAACUGCCCCAUGCACUUUAGCACAAGCCUGGGAAAUUGGGUCUAAUACUGGAUAUAAACAUUUACUCCUCUGGCGUGUGUUGGAAAGAUUUUUUGGUUGGCGAUGGACUCGCCGCCCUAUCAGCUUGUUGCCGAGGAGGUGGCUAACCAUGGCCACUCGAGUUGGCCGGCUGAGAGCGCGACCGGCCACCCUGCGACUGAGCAUCAAACUCUACUAUACGGGAGGCAGCAGUGGGGAAUAUUGCACAAUGGGCGAAAGCCUGAUGCAGCGACGCCGCGUGAGGGAUGACGGCCUUCGGGUUGUAAACCUCUUUCAGUAAGGAAGAAGCGAAAGUGACGGUACUUGCAGAAGAAGCGCCGGCUAACUACGUGCCAGCAGCCGCGGUAAUACGUAGGGCGCGAGCGUUAUCCGGAAUUAUUGGGCGUAAAGAGCUCGUAGGCGGUUUGUCGCGUCUGCCGUGAAAGUCCGGGGCUUAACUCCGGAUCUGCGGUGGGUACGGGCAGGCUAGAGUGCAGUAGGGGAGACUGGAAUUCCUGGUGUAGCGGUGAAAUGCGCAGAUAUCAGGAGGACACCGAUGGCGAAGCAGGUCUCUGGGCUGUAACUGACGCUGAGGAGCGAAAGAUGGGUAGCGAACAGGAUUAGAUACCCUGGUAGUCCAUGCCGUAAACGUUGGCACUAGGUGUGGGGGACAUUCCACGUUUUCCGCGCCGUAGCUAACGCAUUAAGUGCCCGCCUGGGGAGUACGGCCGCAAGUUUAAACUCAAAGAAUUGACGGGGGCCCGCACAAGCGGCGGAGAUGCGGAUUAAUUCGAUGCACGCGAAGACCUUACCAAGGUUGACAUGGACUAGAUCGCCGCAAAAAUGCGGUUUCCCUUCGGGCUGGUUCCAAGUGGUGCAUGGUUGUCGUCAGCUCGUGUCGUGAGAUGUUGGGUUAAGUCCCGCAACGAGCCCAACCCUCGUUCUAUGUUGCCAGCACGUUAUGGUGGGGACUCAUAGGAAACUGCCGGGUCAACUCGGAGGAAGGUGGGGACGACGUCAAAUCAUCAUGCCCCUAAUGCUUGGGCUUCACGCAUGCUACAAUGGCCGGUACAAAGGGUUGCGAAACUUGUAAGGGGGAGCUAAUCCCAAAAAGCCGGUUUCAGUUCGGAAUGGGGCCCGCAACUCGCCCCCUAGAAGCCGGAGCCCCUAGAAAUCCGCGAAAACGAACCCUUCGGGGAAAACUUUCCCGGGCUUUUUACAACCG